UCUCCAUGGUUCACCACUGGUUCCUUGUGGCCAUCCUGGCCCCUGUGGGCCAGGCCCUUCAGCAAUCACCAGACACAGUUGUCCGAGUGGGAGACUCUGUGACUCUGAACUGUUCCCAAAAGGGGAGUGCAGUCUCAACCAUGUACUGGUACAAGUUGCCCACGGGGAAGGAUGCCACUCUGCAGUUGGUUGUAUACUCAGUGGAAGGUGGUGUGGCAGAGAUUGAGAAGGAAUUCAGAAACCACUUCCAGAGUAAUGGGACUAAGGACAAACGCUUAUCUGUGGAGAUAGAUCAUGCCCUACUCAAUGACUCAGGCACAUAUUUCUGUGCUGAGCAAGACCCACAGUGA
Molecule: non-coding RNA, 350 nt
Organism: Aptenodytes forsteri (emperor penguin)
Lineage: Eukaryota; Metazoa; Chordata; Aves; Sphenisciformes; Spheniscidae
Source: the annotation of a RefSeq genome assembly